This 253-nucleotide ribosomal RNA is filed under the name uncultured Acidobacteriota bacterium. Its description in RNAcentral is "uncultured Acidobacteria bacterium partial 16S ribosomal RNA". It matches the Rfam family "Bacterial small subunit ribosomal RNA", at positions 524 to 776 of the family's 1533-position model. Lineage: Bacteria; Pseudomonadati; Acidobacteriota. The record is from RNAcentral.
GACAGAGGGGGCGAGCGUUGUUCGGAAUUACUGGGCGUAAAGGGCGCGUAGGCGGCCUCUUAAGUCGAACGUGAAAUCCCCGGGCUCAACCCGGGAACUGCGUCCGAUACUGGGAGGCUUGAAUCCGGGAGAGGGAUGUGGAAUUCCAGGUGUAGCGGUGAAAUGCGUAGAUAUCUGGAGGAACACCGGUGGCGAAGGCGGCAUCCUGGACCGGUAUUGACGCUGAGGCGCGAAAGCUAGGGGAGCAAACGGG